GAUGAACGCUGGCGGCGUGCCUAAUACAUGCAAGUCGAGCGAACAGACGAGGAGCUUGCUCCUCUGACGUUAGCGGCGGACGGGUGAGUAACACGUGGAUAACCUACCUAUAAGACUGGGAUAACUUCGGGAAACCGGAGCUAAUACCGGAUAAUAUAUUGAACCGCAUGGUUCAAUAGUGAAAGACGGUUUUGCUGUCACUUAUAGAUGGAUCCGCGCCGCAUUAGCUAGUUGGUAAGGUAACGGCUUACCAAGGCAACGAUGCGUAGCCGACCUGAGAGGGUGAUCGGCCACACUGGAACUGAGACACGGUCCAGACUCCUACGGGAGGCAGCAGUAGGGAAUCUUCCGCAAUGGGCGAAAGCCUGACGGAGCAACGCCGCGUGAGUGAUGAAGGUCUUCGGAUCGGAAAACUCUGUUAUUAGGGAGGAACAAAUGUGUAAGUAACUAUGCACGUCUUGACGGUACCUAAUCAGAAAGCCACGGCUAACUACGUG
This 497-nucleotide ribosomal RNA is filed under the name uncultured bacterium. Its description in RNAcentral is "partial 16S ribosomal RNA". It matches the Rfam family "Bacterial small subunit ribosomal RNA", at positions 28 to 507 of the family's 1533-position model. The record is from RNAcentral.